AUACGGGGGGUGCAAGCGUUAAUCGGAAUUACUGGGCGUAAAGCGCGCGUAGGCGGUUAGAUAAGUCGGAUGUGAAAUCCCUGGGCUCAACCUGGGAACUGCAUUCGAUACUGUCUAACUAGAGUAUGGUAGAGGGAAGUGGAAUUCCGGGUGUAGCGGUGAAAUGCGUAGAUAUCCGGAGGAACAUCAGUGGCGAAGGCGACUUCCUGGACCAAUACUGACGCUGAGGUGCGAAAGCGUGGGGAGCAAACAGGAUUAGAUACCCUAGUAGUCC
RNAcentral lists this ribosomal RNA (274 nucleotides) under uncultured bacterium. RNAcentral's name for it is "partial 16S ribosomal RNA". It matches the Rfam family "Bacterial small subunit ribosomal RNA", at positions 523 to 796 of the family's 1533-position model. The record is from RNAcentral.